AAUGAACGCUGGCGGCGCGCCUAAUACAUGCAAGUCGAGCGAGAAGACGUAGCAAUACGUUUGUAAAGCGGCGAACGGGUGAGGAAUACAUGGGUAACCUACCCUCGAGUGGGGAAGUAACUAGCCGAAAGGUUAGCUAAUACCGCGUACGCUUCUUGGACUUCGGUUCAGGGAGGAAAGCGAUGCCGAGGGUAUCGCGCUCUUGGAUGGGCUCAUGUCCUAUCAGCUUGUUGGGAGGUAACGGCUCACCAAGGCUUCGACGGGUAGCUGGUCUGAGAGGACGAUCAGCCACACUGGCACUGCGACACGGGCCAGACUCCUACGGGAGGCAGCAGUAAGGAAUAUUGCGCAAUGGGCGAAAGCCUGACGCAGCGACGCCGCGUGGGGGGA
Molecule: ribosomal RNA, 390 nt
Filed under: uncultured bacterium
Lineage: Bacteria
Description: bacterial SSU rRNA
Rfam family: Bacterial small subunit ribosomal RNA
Source: RNAcentral